GACGAACGCUGGCGGCGUGCCUAACACAUGCAAGUCGAACGGAAAGGCCCUGCCUUUGUGGGGGGCUCGAGUGGCGAACGGGUGAGUAAUACGUGAGUAAACUUCCUGUGACUGGGGGUUAACUUCCGGAAACUGGGGCUAAUACCCGUUAGGACCUCCGGCUGCAUGGUGGGGGUUGGAAAGCUUCGGCGGUUGGGGAUGGACUUGCGGCUUAUCAGCUUGUUGGUGGGGUAGUGGCUUACCAAGGCUUUGACGGGUAGCCGGCCUGAGAGGGUGACCGGCCACAUUGGGACUGAGAUACGGCCCAGACUCCUACGGGAGGCAGCAGUGGGAAGUAUUGCACAAUGGGCGGAAGCCUGAUGCAGCAACGCCGCGUGCGGGAUGACGGCCUUCGGGUUGUAAACCGCUUUCGCCUGUGACGGAGCGUGAGUGACGGUAAUGGGUAAAGAAGCACCGGCUAACUACGUG
Molecule: ribosomal RNA, 468 nt
Filed under: uncultured bacterium
Lineage: Bacteria
Description: partial 16S ribosomal RNA
Rfam family: Bacterial small subunit ribosomal RNA
Source: RNAcentral